UGUUUUGAAGAAAGUUCACUUUAUAUACUUCUAUUGACCCUAGAAGCAAAAUAGCAUAAGGGCACAUUCAGACACACUGCUUGCCAAAACUGCAUUCCUAAAGGAUAAAUUAUUUGGGGUACCCUUUUGGCUCUUGGCCCUCUGGUCCUGUCCUGGACCAUUGGCAAUAUAACAGAGACAGCUUUCUGCUUCUCAAGAAAGGAUUUUUUUUACAUCAUCAGAAAACAUCAAGUGAAUCAAGAAAGAAUAGAGCUCUGAGGACCACUGAAGAUUCAUGAGGAUCUUUGUGAAUGCUCUGCAGAUGAAAAAGGUAUUGGGGAUCACUUUGAAAUAUGGAGUUAGGGAGGGAGACUAUGAAGAAAAAAGAAAAAAACUUGGAGAGAAGGAACACCUUGAAGAUGAAGACAUUGCAUCUAGAAUGAAGGGUGAAAAAAAAGCUGAUACAUUUCAAUCAAUGUACAAGUGAUUGGAGCAGACUGAGAAAUUCAAUUCAGAUUCUUUGUGAACAUAAAAGUUUUGUGAACCUGAGUAUAUGUUUUAUCUUCUCAUCCUGGUUUCCAACAUUAGGUGGCUCUGACCUGCUCUCCCACAAGAGUGUAAAUUCAGCAAGGGUAGGGG
Molecule: long non-coding RNA, 618 nt
Filed under: Homo sapiens (human)
Lineage: Eukaryota; Metazoa; Chordata; Mammalia; Primates; Hominidae
Description: HSALNT0114564
Source: RNAcentral